Molecule: ribosomal RNA, 253 nt
Filed under: uncultured bacterium
Lineage: Bacteria
Description: partial 16S ribosomal RNA
Rfam family: Bacterial small subunit ribosomal RNA
Source: RNAcentral
UACGGAGGGUGCGAGCGUUGUUCGGAAUCACUGGGCGUAAAGGGCGUGUAGGCGGUCCGCUAAGUCUGAUGUGAAAGCCCGGGGCUCACCCCCGGAAGGGCAUUGGAAACUGGCGGACUCGAGUCUCGGAGAGGAAGGUGGAAUUCCUGGUGUAGCGGUGAAAUGCGUAGAUAUCAGGAGGAAUACCGGUGGCGAAGGCGGCCUUCUGGACGAUGACUGACGCUGAGACGCGAAAGCUAGGGGAGCAAACGGG